UUUCGAAUCAUUCACAAUGGGCGAAAGCCUGAUGGUGCGACGCCGCGUGAGGGAUGAAGGUCUUCGGAUUGUAAACCUCUGUCACCGGGGAAGAAACGCUUCAAGUUAACAGUUUGAAGCCUGACUUAACCCGGAGAGGAAGCAGUGGCUAACUCUGUGCCAGCAGCCGCGGUAAUACAGAGACUGCAAGCGUUAUUCGGAUUCACUGGGCGUAAAGGGUGCGCAGGCGGCCGUGUGUGUGAGGCGUGAAAGCCCGGGGCUUAACCCCGGAAUUGCACCUCAAACUACAUGGCUAGAGCAUUGGAGAGGGUAGCAGAAUUCACGGUGUAGCAGUGAAAUGCGUAGAUAUCGUGAGGAAUACCAGAGGCGAAGGCGGCUACCUGGACAAUUGCUGACGCUCAGGCACGAAAGCGUGGGGAGCAAAAG
This 426-nucleotide ribosomal RNA is filed under the name uncultured bacterium. RNAcentral's name for it is "bacterial SSU rRNA". It matches the Rfam family "Bacterial small subunit ribosomal RNA", at positions 355 to 774 of the family's 1533-position model. The record is from RNAcentral.